This is a long non-coding RNA of Eriocheir sinensis (Chinese mitten crab), 1559 nucleotides long. RefSeq lists it as uncharacterized. The record is from RefSeq and is a predicted model, not a curated record. The transcript has 3 exons. NCBI's taxonomy places the organism in Eukaryota, Metazoa, Arthropoda, Malacostraca, Decapoda, Varunidae.
CAGUAAGCUGGGAUCCUUGAGCUAGUGAGGGUGUGUGUGUUGCGUUCCUCUCCUCCCCUUCUGCCAGUGUGUGUUCGCGGGCUCUCCCUCGGGCUUAUCCAGAAGCAAGAUGGCGCCCCUUGCAACGAUCGAAACCAUCUCUGUUGUACGACCACUGAAGGUGAGUUCGUUCGUUCGUUUGUUCACCGUUACCUGUGCGAGCCCAUCCAGGUAACAGCGUCAUCAUCUUCAGGUAAGGUUCAUCUCACCUGUUCCCUAUAUUACCUUUCCUAACCCUACCUUACCUUACCUUACCUUCCCUUUGUUUAACUUGUUCCCCUUUUUCCCCUAAUUAAAGGUAAGUUACAGGUGAGGACUAAUUAAGAAGACUCAGGUAUGUGUUGACAGGUGAGAAAAGGUGGUAAUUAAGUAUUUAUUGAUUGACUUGUUUGUUUAUUUGUUUAUUUGCUUGGUAGAAAUAAUGUGUAAAGGAAAGGAAUAGAAAAGAAAGGAAAGGAAAAGUGUGAUGAUGGAGGGAGGAAAAGCACAGAAAAGAAGAAGGAGAGAAAGAAACAUUUGCUUGGUAGAAAUAAUGUGUCUGUGAAGAAAAGGAGAGGAAAAGAAAGGAAUGGAAAGGAAAAGCGUGAUGAUGGAUUUACACGAGGAAUAGAGAAAAGGGGAAAGGCUGAGAAAAGAAGAGAAAGAAAUAACCAUUGAAAGAAAAGGGGAAUAGAAAAAAAAGAAGGAAAGAAACACCAAAAGAAGAAGGAAAAAUAAGAGAAAAAAGAAAGAAAAAUGAUAUGAAGGAAGGAAAUGAAGACAGAAAGAUAGAGGAAAGACAGACAAGGAAGAAAAACAACAACAACAAAGAAAAAAUGUAUAGAAACGGACGUGUAGAAACCAAGGCUGAUGAAGAAAAGAAGAAAAUAUAGAAGAAAAUACAAGGAAAAAAUGAAAAAUAUAGAAACGGACAUGAAGAAAGCAAGUCAGAUGAAGAAAAGAAGAAAAAAACAAGAAAAAUGGAAGAAAAUAAACACAGAAUUAAGGAAGAAAAGACACUCGAAGCUUAUCAAGAAGAAAAUUUGAAAGAAAAGUGGAUUAGGAAGAAGAAAAGAAGAAACAGAAUUACAAGAAAAAGAAAAAUAAGUGUUUGGAGUUAUUUUUACAUUCACCCUUGAAAAAGAAAGUGUGUGUGUGUGUGUGUGUGUGUGUGUGUGUGUGUGUGUGUAUGCAACCACCAGACCAUUUACAGGCACCAGGUCAAGCAAACACACACACACACACACACACACAUAUUUAUCCUUCACUUGAGUGCACGCGCGUGAAUGCAUAAGUAAGCGGCGAGUGUGCGGGAAGGCGUGGGAGGAGGCGUGUGUGUGUGUGUGUGUGUGUGUGUGUGUGUGUGUGUAUUUUUCUCUGAGAUGAAAUUAGUGCGCGGGGGAGGAAGGGCGGGGGCGUAUUGUUGUUUCAAAGGGCGUGUGAGGCGUGGGAAAUUAAGGAGGCGUGGGAUUGAUACUAAGAGUGCGUGGGAAUUCGCUGCAGGGAAGACACUAUUGGUGGAUGUAGUGUGCUUGUGUGUG